GAUGAACGCUGGCGGCGUGCCUAAUACAUGCCAGUCGAGCGAACGGACGAGAAGCUUGCUUCUCUGAUGUUAGCGGCGGACGGGUGAGUAACACGUGGAUAACCUACCUAUAAGACUGGGAUAACUUCGGGAAACCGGAGCUAAUACCGGAUAAUAUUUUGAACCGCAUGGUUCAAAAGUGAAAGACGGUCUUGCUGUCACUUAUAGAUGGAUCCGCGUUGCAUUAGCUAGUUGGUAAGGUAACGGCUUACCAAGGCAACGAUGCAUAGCCGACCUGAGAGGGUGAUCGGCCACACUGGAACUGAGACACGGUCCAGACUCCUACGGGAGGCAGCAGUAGGGAAUCUUCCGCAAUGGGCGAAAGCCUGACGGAGCAACGCCGCGUGAGUGAUGAAGGUCUUCGGAUCGUAAAACUCUGUUAUUAGGGAAGAACAUAUGUGUAAGUAACUGUGCACAUCUUGACGGUACCUAAUCAGAAAGCCACGGCUAACUACGUG
Molecule: ribosomal RNA, 497 nt
Filed under: uncultured bacterium
Lineage: Bacteria
Description: partial 16S ribosomal RNA
Rfam family: Bacterial small subunit ribosomal RNA
Source: RNAcentral